Molecule: ribosomal RNA, 460 nt
Filed under: uncultured bacterium
Lineage: Bacteria
Description: partial 16S ribosomal RNA
Rfam family: Bacterial small subunit ribosomal RNA
Source: RNAcentral
CCUACGGGGGGCAGCAGUGAGGAAUAUUGGUCAAUGGACGAGAGUCUGAACCAGCCAAGUAGCGUGAAGGAUGACUGCCCUAUGGGUUGUAAACUUCUUUUAUAUGGGAAUAAAAUGUUCCACGUGUGGGAUUUUGUAUGUACCAUAUGAAUAAGGAUCGGCUAACUCCGUGCCAGCAGCCGCGGUAAUACGGAGGAUCCGAGCGUUAUCCGGAUUUAUUGGGUUUAAAGGGAGCGUAGGUGGAUUGUUAAGUCAGGUGUGAAAGUUUGCGGCUCAACCGUAAAAUUGCAGUUGAAACUGGCAGUCUUGAGUACAGUAGAGGUGGGCGGAAUUCGUGGUGUAGCGGUGAAAUGCUUAGAUAUCACGAAGAACUCCGAUUGCGAAGGCAGUUCACUGGACUGCAACUGACACUGAGGCGCGAAAGUGUGGGUAUCAAACAGGAUUAGAUACCCUUGUAGUC